RNAcentral lists this ribosomal RNA (849 nucleotides) under uncultured Verrucomicrobiota bacterium. Its description in RNAcentral is "bacterial SSU rRNA". It matches the Rfam family "Bacterial small subunit ribosomal RNA", at positions 670 to 1510 of the family's 1533-position model. Lineage: Bacteria; Pseudomonadati; Verrucomicrobiota. The record is from RNAcentral.
ACGGUGUAGCGGUGAAAUGCGUAGAUAUCGUAAGGAAGACCAGUGGCGAAGGCGGGUCUCUGGACAGUUCCUGACGCUGAGGCACGAAGGCCAGGGGAGCAAACGGGAUUAGAUACCCCGGUAGUCCUGGCAGUAAACGGUGCACGUUUGGUGUGGGAGGAUUCGACCCCUUCUGCGCCGGAGCUAACGCGUUAAACGUGCCGCCUGGGGAGUACGGUCGCAAGAUUAAAACUCAAAGAAAUUGACGGGGGCCCGCACAAGCGGUGGAGUAUGUGGCUCAAUUCGAUGCAACGCGAAGAACCUUACCAGGCCUUGACAUGCAUCUCUAAGUUGGUGAAAGCCAGCGAGUCCCGAAAGGGACAAUUUGCACAGGUGCUGCAUGGCUGUCGUCAGCUCGUGUCGUGAGAUGUUGGGUUAAGUCCCGCAACGAGCGCAACCCCUGUGAACUGUUGCCACCGAGCCGUGAGGCUCGAGCACUCUGUUCAGACUGCCCCGUUCUAACGGGGAGGAAGGUGGGGACGACGUCAAGUCAGUAUGGCCCUUACGGCCUGGGCUGCACACGUACUACAAUGCCCAGUACAGAACGAUCCGAGACCGCAAGGUGGAGGAAAUCACUAAAACUGGGCCCAGUUCAGAUUGAAGUCUGCAACUCGACUUCAUGAAGCCGGAAUCGCUAGUAAUGGCGCAUCAGCUACGGCGCCGUGAAUACGUUCCCGGGCCUUGUACACACCGCCCGUCACAUCAUGGAAGUCGCUUGUAGCCGAAGCCGGUGUGUAACCGCAAGGAGGCAGCCGUCUACGCUAUGAGCGGUAACUGGGAUGAAGUCGUAACAAGGUACCAAUCCCGCGG